CCCCCUUCCCGCAUACCCACGGACGCUCGCCUGCUCAGCCCUCUGGUCACUCCAUCUGUCUCUUCAGCCUGCGGUAGUUGCCCCGAGUUCCUCGCCAGACUCCAUCUGCCGCCGUCCAAUCAGCACCCACACAUCAGAGUAGACAGUAGUACCUAGACCAUAACCUCCCCAGUCCGACACUCACCGACUAAGGUCAACCCCGCCCAGACGUUCAGGCCUCGAUCCCGGCGUCCAGUCAUAGCUCCGUGUAUUUGCUCUGUUCCUUUAAUAAAAACUCUUAAACUGA
Molecule: long non-coding RNA, 286 nt
Organism: Fundulus heteroclitus (mummichog)
Lineage: Eukaryota; Metazoa; Chordata; Actinopteri; Cyprinodontiformes; Fundulidae
Exons: 2
Source: RefSeq, a predicted model, not a curated record